AUUGAACGCUGGCGGCAGGCCUAACACAUGCAAGUCGAGCGGCAGCACGGUGCUUGCUCCUGCAUCCAGCGGCGGACGGGUGAGUAAUGCAUAGGAACAUGCCCAGCUGUGGGGGCUAACGUCAGGAAACGGGCGCUAAUACCGCAUACGUCCAGAGGGAGAAAGGGGGGGAUCUUCGGACCUCCCGCCAUUGGAUGAGCCGAUGUCGGAUUAGCUAGUUGGUGGGGUAAAGGCCUACCAAGGCGACGAUCCGUAGCUGGUCUGAGAGGAUGAUCAGCCACACUGGAACUGAGACACGGUCCAGACUCCUACGGGAGGCAGCAGUGGGGAAUAUUGGACAAUGGGCGCAAGCCUGAUCCAGCCAUGCCGCGUGAGUGAAGAAGGUCUUCGGGUUGUAAAGCUCUUUUGGUAGGAAAGAAAAGCAGUAAGUUAAUACCGUGCUGUUUUGACGGUACCCAAAGAAUAAGCACCGGCUAACUUCGUG
This 484-nucleotide ribosomal RNA is filed under the name uncultured bacterium. Its description in RNAcentral is "partial 16S ribosomal RNA". It matches the Rfam family "Bacterial small subunit ribosomal RNA", at positions 30 to 507 of the family's 1533-position model. The record is from RNAcentral.